ACCCGGGUUGCGGACAGUGUCUGGUGGGUAGUUUGACUGGGGCGGUCUCCUCCUAAAGAGUAACGGAGGAGCACGAAGGUUGGCUAAUCCUGGUCGGACAUCAGGAGGUUAGUGCAAUGGCAUAAGCCAGCUUGACUGCGAGCGUGACGGCGCGAGCAGGUGCGAAAGCAGGUCAUAGUGAUCCGGUGGUUCUGAAUGGAAGGGCCAUCGCUCAACGGAUAAAAGGUACUCCGGGGAUAACAGGCUGAUACCGCCCAAGAGUUCAUAUCGACGGCGGUGUUUGGCACCUCGAUGUCGGCUCAUCACAUCCUGGGGCUGAAGUAGGUCCCAAGGGUAUGGCUGUUCGCCAUUUAAAGUGGUACGCGAGCUGGGUUUAGAACGUCGUGAGACAGUUCGGUCCCUAUCUGCCGUGGGCGCUGGAGAACUGAGGGGGGCUGCUCCUAGUACGAGAGGACCGGAGUGGACGCAUCACUGGUGUUCGGGUUGUCAUGCCAAUGGCACUGCCCGGUAGCUAAAUGCGGAAGAGAUAAGUGCUGAAAGCAUCUAAGCACGAAACUUGCCCCGAGAUGAGUUCUCCCUGAGACUUAGAGUCUCCUGAAGGAACGUUGAAGACGACGAC
RNAcentral lists this ribosomal RNA (619 nucleotides) under Salmonella enterica subsp. enterica. RNAcentral's name for it is "partial 23S ribosomal RNA". It matches the Rfam family "Bacterial large subunit ribosomal RNA", at positions 2238 to 2851 of the family's 2925-position model. Lineage: Bacteria; Pseudomonadati; Pseudomonadota; Gammaproteobacteria; Enterobacterales; Enterobacteriaceae. The record is from RNAcentral.